Molecule: ribosomal RNA, 304 nt
Filed under: uncultured bacterium
Lineage: Bacteria
Description: partial 16S ribosomal RNA
Rfam family: Bacterial small subunit ribosomal RNA
Source: RNAcentral
CAGCAGUCGCCGCGGUAAUACGUAGGGUGCAAGCGUUAAUCGGAAUUACUGGGCGUAAAGCGUGCGCAGGCGGUUUUGUAAGACAGAGGUGAAAUCCCCGGGCUCAACCUGGGAACUGCCUUUGUGACUGCAAGGCUAGAGUACGGCAGAGGGGGAUGGAAUUCCGCGUGUAGCAGUGAAAUGCGUAGAUAUGCGGAGGAACACCGAUGGCGAAGGCAAUCCCCUGGGCCUGUACUGACGCUCAUGCACGAAAGCGUGGGGAGCAAACAGGAUUAGAUACCCCCGUAGUCCCUGUCUCUUAUAC